RNAcentral lists this long non-coding RNA (935 nucleotides) under Setaria viridis. RNAcentral's name for it is "long non-coding RNA (SVIR_LNC010846)". Lineage: Eukaryota; Viridiplantae; Streptophyta; Magnoliopsida; Poales; Poaceae. The record is from RNAcentral.
GACUGUUUCCUUUGGAUGGAAGAUCAAUCCCCUAUUUUCUUUCUCUAUUUAACAUUUCAUUUAAUUUGAUUAUAUUUGGAAUAGUGCAUCUAUUUUUUAAGGUUGAAAAUCAAUAUGGGAUGAAUAUUAAUCAAUAAUGUAAUCCUAUUCGGCUCUCUCUUGAAAUCAAGGAAAUCCUUGCUCACCUUGCCAAAAUUCAUACCAUUUUUCCCACAAAGGAUCGAAUAUUUUGGUCCAUUUCAUUUUGGAUGGAAGAUCAAUCCCCUGUUUUCUUGCUCUGUUUGCUCUAUUUCCUCUCCCUCACCCUUUCCAACAAAGGAUCAAAAAUUUUAGUCCGUCCUAUUUACUUUUCCAAUAACGGAUCAUACACCUGUACACCUCGCCAAGAAUAGCACGUGUCACUUUGGUUAUGUUGCCUUAUGUUUCUGAACAUUGUGCCGAUGAUGUACUAUCAAUCUUGCCAAUCUCAUUGCAUAAUUUUCUUUUGUAGUUUAAAAGAGUGCCACAUCAACAAAUAGAAAGCAAACCAUGGAUCAACAAUUUUAGUCCGACCUAUUUACUUUUCCAACAAUGGAAUUUCCUUCGAGAUUUGCCAAGAAUCAUAACAGUUGCAUUCAGAUCGAAUAUUUGAUGCCCUAGCCUCCAGCGGUUGCCAUACCGGUUCCUAUUCCCACGCAUCCUUCGAGGAGCAAGUUGCCAUCCUUGAGAGGCGCCGGUUGCCUAGCUUCCUGAGGAACUCCUUAUUUAAUCACUAUUUCCCCCACCAUCGGCGUAGUCACUAGUUCUACUAGCAUCUCAUCCCUGACGCACGCAACUCACCCCAGCAGACCGGGUGACGCCAUGAAGCGAUCCGUCUCCCCCUCGGCCCCCACCUCCUCUGGCUCCUUGCUGCCCCACCUAUCCCCCACUAGCUCCCCCUCGUACAUCGAGCGAUC